GGAAUAUUGCGCAAUGGACGAAAGUCUGACGCAGCGACGCCUCGUGAGGGACGAAGGUCUUCGGAUUGUAAACCUCUUUCAGCAGGGACGAAGCGAAAGUGACGGUACCUGCAGAAGAAGCACCGGCUAACUAUGUGCCAGCAGCCGCGGUAAUACAUAGGGUGCAAGCGUUGUCCGGAUUUAUUGGGCGUAAAGAGUUCGUAGGCGGUUUCUCGCGUCGGAUGUGAAAACUCAGGGCUCAACCCUGAGCCUGCAUUCGAUACGGGGAAACUUGAGGACGGCAGGGGAGACUGGAACUCCUGGUGUAGCGGUGGAAUGCGCAGAUAUCAGGAAGAACACCAAUGGCGAAGGCAGGUCUCUGGGCCGAUUCUGACGCUGAGGAACGAAAGCGUGGGGAGCAAACAGGAUUAGAUACCCUGGUAGUCCACGCCGUAAACGAUGGACGCUAGGUGUGGGGAACAUUCCACGUUCUCUGCGCCGCAGCUAACGCAUUAAGCGUCCCGCCUGGGGAGUACGACCGCAAGGUUAAAACUCAAAGGAAUUGACGGA
RNAcentral lists this ribosomal RNA (549 nucleotides) under uncultured bacterium. Its description in RNAcentral is "bacterial SSU rRNA". It matches the Rfam family "Bacterial small subunit ribosomal RNA", at positions 358 to 917 of the family's 1533-position model. The record is from RNAcentral.